AGCAAUUUGGCGCAGUGGAAGCGCGGUUAGUACCAGCCCGAUAAUUGAUCUCAAACAUCCAAACCCCAUCAAAACUAACAAUGUAAUAGCCGGGCUCAUAACCCGGAGGUCGCACGAUCGAAACGUGCAAUUGCUA
This is a non-coding RNA of Epichloe festucae Fl1, 136 nucleotides long. The record is from the annotation of a GenBank genome assembly. NCBI's taxonomy places the organism in Eukaryota, Fungi, Ascomycota, Sordariomycetes, Hypocreales, Clavicipitaceae.